ACGGAGGGUGCGAGCGUUAAUCGGAAUCACUGGGCGUAAAGCGCACGUAGGCGGUGUCGUAAGUCGGAUGUGAAAGCCCUCGGCUCAACCGGGGAACUGCAUUCGAUACUGCGAGGCUUGAGUGCCGGAGAGGGUGGCGGAAUUCCAGGUGUAGGAGUGAAAGGCGUAGAUAUCUGGAGGAACACCAGUGGCGAAGGCGGCCACCUGUAAGGCAACUGACGCUGAGGUGCUAGAGCGUGGGGAACAAACAG
Molecule: ribosomal RNA, 251 nt
Filed under: uncultured prokaryote
Description: partial 16S rRNA
Rfam family: Bacterial small subunit ribosomal RNA
Source: RNAcentral